GACGAACGCUGGCGGCGUGCUUAACACAUGCAAGUCGAACGGAAAGGCCCUGCUUUUGUGGGGUGCUCGAGUGGCGAACGGGUGAGUAACACGUGAGUAACCUGCCCCUGACUUUGGGAUAACUUCAGGAAACUGGGGCUAAUACCGGAUAGGAGCUCCUGCUGCAUGGUGGGGGUUGGAAAGUUUCGGCGGUUGGGGAUGGACUCGCGGCUUAUCAGCUUGUUGGUGGGGUAGUGGCUUACCAAGCCUUUGACGGGUAGCCGGCCUGAGAGGGUGAACGGCCACAUUGGGACUGAGAUACGGCCCAGACGCCUACGGGAGGCAGCAGUGGGGAAUAUUGCACAAUGGGCGGAAGCCUGAUGCAGCAACGCCGCGUGCGGGAUGACGGCCUUCGGGUUGUAAACCGCUUUCGCCUGUGACGAAGCGUGAGUGACGGUAAUGGGUAAAGAAGCACCGGCUAACUACGUG
This 468-nucleotide ribosomal RNA is filed under the name uncultured bacterium. RNAcentral's name for it is "partial 16S ribosomal RNA". It matches the Rfam family "Bacterial small subunit ribosomal RNA", at positions 28 to 507 of the family's 1533-position model. The record is from RNAcentral.